CGGACGGGUGAGUAACGCGUGGGUAACCUCGCCUCAUACAGGGGGAGUAACAGUUAGAAAUGACUGCUAAUACCGCAUAAGCGCACAGGGAUGCAUGUCCUGGUGUGAAAAACUCCGGUGGUAUGAGAUGGACCCGCGUCUGAUUAGCUGGUUGGCGGGGUAACGCCCACCAAGGCGACGAUCAGUAGCCGACCUGAGAGGGUGACCGGCCACAUUGGGACUGAGACACGGCCCAAACUCCUACGGAAGGCAGCAG
RNAcentral lists this ribosomal RNA (256 nucleotides) under uncultured bacterium. RNAcentral describes it as "partial 16S ribosomal RNA". It matches the Rfam family "Bacterial small subunit ribosomal RNA", at positions 99 to 354 of the family's 1533-position model. The record is from RNAcentral.